This 73-nucleotide transfer RNA is filed under the name Conexibacter sp. JCM 18997. Its description in RNAcentral is "tRNA-Ala". It matches the Rfam family "tRNA". From Rfam's summary of the family: Transfer RNA (tRNA) molecules are approximately 80 nucleotides in length. Lineage: Bacteria; Bacillati; Actinomycetota; Thermoleophilia; Solirubrobacterales; Conexibacteraceae. RNAcentral also lists the same sequence under 3 other names. The record is from RNAcentral.
GGGGCUAUAGCUCAGCUGGGAGAGCGUCUGGCUGGCAGCCAGAAGGUCGUCGGUUCGAGCCCGACUAGCUCCA